AAACAACCAAAAUGGAAAAGGGUGUGUCCAAAACCCCAAUAACAAGGAGUGGGGUGGGUGGGAUCAAUGAAGGUCAGAAAUUGGCGGUGGAGAUAGUAAUCGGGCAGAAAUUGGGUGGGGUCAAUGAAUGGAUUCUGCAAUUGUUUUGGAGCUGAUUACAGAAAAUGAUGAGUCAAAUUAUCUGGAAAUAGCGGAAACCUAAAGAAGAUAAAUCAUCGAAAACUUGUUAGCCAGGGAGCGCGAUUUAGCAAGCCGUGGAAGAGGGGAGGGUGUGGGUGUUGUGUGGAUCAAGAAGCAUCUCCAUGCGUGGAAGGCAAACCAAGAAAGAAACCUGUUCGUUCUAGUCUUCUUCGUGAGCAGCGUCAGCCAGCCAUUGAUAAACAAAGUUAUUUAUGUUAUUUCUUUGCUUCGUUCUCUGCCCAAAACACUUACACGAGCCAAUUUUACCAAAAUGCCCUUUUAAUUUCCAAAUUUGGAACACAAAUUUCUUCGGCUAUAUCGUGAACACUUAUUUGACCAAAAUGAAAGAGAAGUAACUGUGAGAAUUAAAUUUUUAUAUAUAAACCAUUUUAAAAAAAAUAAUAAUAAUUUUUAUAUUUGUGUGUUCGGGCCCGCUUAACCUUCAAUUUUAAAAGGUAAUUAUAAUGGAUGAUCAUUUGAGAAAUAAUAAUUAAAAAUAUAACAACAACUAAAAAAAAUUACAAAUAUAGCAAAAUUAUCCUCAUAGACUCUAUCACUCGUAGAUUCGUAUGAUCUAUCAGUGAUAGAUCAAUUUUUCCUCUAUCAUUUAUAGAAUUUAACAAAUUUUGCUAUAUUUGCAAUUUUUUUAAAAUGUUACUAUAUAUUUAAUUAUUUUGAAUUUAAUUACUAAAUUUGCAGCUAUCAUUUUUAAAAAACAUAAAUAAUAUAUCUUCGAAUAUUCUAGAUAAAAUUAAAAUAGUCACGUUCAAAUAAAAUAUAACAUAAUUUAACGUUUGUCACUGAUAAUAUUUUUACACAUUAAUUAUUUUAAUAUGUGUGUUCACACGAGAUUUCGAAAGAAAUGUAUUUCGUGGAAUUAAACUUUGAUAUGUUGAUGAAUAUUGUGAAUACAAUCUCUAGUAUUUACUCAUUUGAUGCUUUCUCUCAAAUAAAAUUUAAAAACUUCGAAUUUCUUGAUCUUCGGUCUUUAGGAUGUUGUAGUUGCAAGUCUAUUUGAGACUCAAUCUUAUGGAAUUUAAGGAGAGUUUGAUCUUCCAAGUCUUCAAUCAAUCUUUCAGAAGAUGAUGAUCUCGAAGUUGAUAUGAACUUGCACGUCUUGAGAGCUUUAUAGAAGUUUGAAUCUUCAAUUCUUCAGAGCUUCAAUUUUUCCUUCAACCCAGAGCCCCUCAAAUGAAUGACAAAGGUCUCCAUUUAUAGAGAAAUUUUGUGGGUUUUAGGUGGGCUUUGGCCUAUUUGCUUGUUGGGAUUGGACUUUGACCAAUUUGCCUGUUGGGCUUAGGCUUGGGCCAAUUUGCCUUAUUGGGUUUGGACUUGGGCUUGGGCUCAUUUGCUUUAUUAGGCUUGGGUCCGUCUGCUUGUUGAGUUUGAAUUUAGUUGGAUUGAGUAAACUUAAUUAUCAAAAUCAAAUAAAACAUAAUUAUCGAAUAUUUGUUAUGAUGAUGUGGUAGAAUUUAAUUGGCUGAAAUUUCUUGCUCAACAAUGUGUUAUUUUCUUUUUUUAAAAUAUGUGUGUUGUAUAGUCAACCAAAAGUGAAAGUUUUUCGCAACAAGAUUUUUCAAUAUCUGGAAAAGAAUUGAGCUGACGAGGUUGAAGUUACAAAUUUUGAAUGUAGAGUCACGCAAAUAAUGAAAAAACUCAAACAAAUUAAUUUUAUGAAGUUGAUAUUGCCAUCUUCCUCGACCAUGUGGAAAAAAAUAUAACAAUUUCGAGGUGCAGCAUCUUAUAGCAAAACACAACCUUCAAAUGGCACAGACAGAAGUGAGAAAAAAAUAAAAACAUGCAAGACAUAAUUAGUUUAAACCAUAAGGAAAACGGCAUGUGAUUUAAAAUCUAUGUAUUAUAAAGCAACUCACAAAUUGUCAAUCUUGCUUCAACUAAUGGCGCUAAAAGAACACGAAAAUUGUACGAUAAGCUUAUCAACGUUGGAGUGUGCUCAAGGGAUGUGAAUGACAACCACAAUUUGAUUGAUCAUAUAUUCACUUAUUUGAGGUUUUACUCUUAGACACUGAAUUUAUAUGAGAUUUGUUAAGAAGUUACGAAAGCAAAGUUGGAUGAUCUAUGGCUACCGCUUCCCAUAUAUGAGUGCACUUAUAACUCACUUUGUACAGUUUAGUCACGAGUGUGACUUUUGUAAACUAAAGUAUAAUUCUCAUUCAAGUUUUGUAUAAUGUUUUAAAAUUUCUCUUUGUUUGGUUAAUAGCAAAGGGAAUGGAAUGAUAAUGAUGAACUUUCUUGUAAAUUUUGUCUUCUGAUUACUUUGACUAUAGCUGGGAGUACAAAUUAGAUUGAUGGACUUUGAAUAAUAAAACUUGGAUUGAAUAUGUUUAUAUAUUUAUUAUAGAGUUUGUUUAAAUAUAUAAAAUUUUGAGAAACUAUUUACCUUAAAAUAAAACUAAUAAAAGACAACUUUUACUUGUAUAUUUUUUAUGAAGUGUAUUUCUUCUUUUUUUUUUUUUUAUUUGUCAAAGUGUUGAAUUUUUUAUAAUUCUCUUUUAUUUUUACAUUUUUCAUAAAAAUGUAAGGUGGAUUUAAAUUUGUAUUCUCAGUUACAAAAAUCAGUUAAAUUUUCAAAUUUUCAAACAUAAUUGAAAGUAUUUCAUAUAAUAAUUAUAUAAAUAAUUUUUCUAUACAUUUUUAGAUUGGUUAACUUUAUGAACGUAUUAUUUUAACAAAACAAGUAAAUUCCAAUACAAAAUCCGUAUACAACUAAAUUUCAUAUAUUAAUUAUGUUGCUCAUCCAAACAUAAACAUUAGCUAUUACCAAUCUUCAUUGUAAACGUUAUGCAAGAAACAACGCAAAUCUAAGCGAUCAUAAAACAAGGUAUUCCACUAUCGUUAAAAGCUAGAUUAUAAAACAAAAUAUUUCAGCAUCAUUAAGGGUAUGGAAGAUCCGGGUUGAAAUAAGCAUGCUAUUAACAUUUUUUGUCGUGAAAUAUAAAGAAAAGGGAAAUAAUCCGACAUUAAAACUUAAAGCAUUUAAGUUGAUGAGUUCUCAAAUAAUUUACUUGAGCAGAUGGAAUUGAUCCAUUUCCUAUUUAAAGUCACACUAGUCACUAAGCGCGAUUUCCAUGACGAUUGGCAGAGGAUUCUGGAUGUCCUUCAGAACCAAACACAAAAAACCUUUAUUAUCAAUCCAUUCCACGCUGAUAAAGCUUUGCUCAAAUGCCCUGAUCAGACGAUAGCUAGACUUCUCACGAUGAACAAGGACUGGGCUACCUACGGCCCUUUAACCUUGAAAAUGGAAUGGUGGGAUCCAAAAAAACAUGGGAGAAUGGCGCUUGUUCCAUCUUAUGGAGGAUGGAUCAAACUAAGAAAUUUUCCCCUGCAUCUGUGGAAUGAGGAAGUUUUUAAGAGGGUUGGUGAUAAGUUAGGAGGUUUCAUUGAGUUUGCGGAAGAAAAUUCGAGCCUCAUUAACUGCUUGGAAGUGAAUAUCAAAGUUAGAGGGAACUAUUGCGGCUUCAUUCCGGCGGAUUUUGAGUUGAUAGAAGGAUCCGAUUCUUAUCUUGUGCAGGUGGUUUCCUUCCAAGAUCCCAAUCUCCUUAUUGAUAAAGUCGCCGGAAUCCAUGGAUCCUUCUCGCCGGAACAAGCUGAGAAGUUCUUCAAAGGUCCGGGCGGCCCGGAUCCGAAUCCGAUUGAUAUUUGGCGUGUGGAGAAGUCGAACUCAAGGCUGGCAGUUUUCGCUUUUCAGAAUUCUGAGAUGGUGAGUACGGCGACAGAAGAAGCUGGAAAAUUCUGUCCUUCUCUGCAAACUGACGGAGAGAUUAGAGGAACAAAUUUAAAUUUGCCGCCCAAGAAAACCCUAAUGGAUUUGACUAAUAAAUUGGGCUUGACCAAUGAAGUGGGCCUCAUUUCAGAUGUGGGCUUCCCUGAUUUAAAAGGGAAAGGCAUAGCAGUGGAUGAAGUCCUUAGUCAACAGCCCACUAAUACUAAAAAGCAAACUGGGCUUUUUAUUAGAGAGAACUCCCAAGCUACCCGUGCCAAUCAUCCCCUGUUACUAAAACUGCCCAAGCCCACCAAAAUUAAAUUUGCAGAAAAGGAAGAAAUUCGACCUUUCUUUAAAAACAGUGUGAUCUGCUCCACGAACCAACCUGACGGCAGGGGAGACUCUUCAACCUCAACGUUCAUAUCAGACCGCAUUCAUGGUGAAAUAGAUCCAACUUUGGACGUUUCUAUUUCUAGCCCGGGCAGCCUCAUAUCUGAAAAUAAAUUUGCUCCUCUUGAAGCCGACGAAGUGCAGCACAUCUCGGAUUUUUCCUCCGACGUCCAAAGACUCUUCCACGAGGUAAGCACCACGGAAAGAGGCAGGGAAGAAGGUCUCCAGAUAAUAGCUGUUGAGGAUACCAGUGAGCCUCCUUUUUCCAAUGAAGAAUUACUCGAAAUUGAAAGCAUAACCGAGUUAGAACCAGCAGCUUCUAUACAGAAUCCUUUUCCAUUGAGUAAGGAGGUGAUAGCGGCUCUACUUGAAUAUGAUCUAUGCAUUCGGGCUGUAACCAGAAAAGGGAAACAACAUAGGAAGGGUGGGGCCUCCUCGAACAACAACAAAAAGCUUACUAGAGAAGUCAAAGCACUGCUAGGUAGUUGGGAAAGGGAAGCCCAAGCGGAAAAAGAUCAUAAUAAGCCGGGCUGUGAGGGUGAUCCAUGUUAGUUAUCUCUUGGAAUGUAAGGGGUAUUAAUGCUCGCCCCAAAAGAGCGAUUGUGAAAGAGUUGCUUACGAAAUUCAACCCAGACGUGGUAAUUCUACAAGAAACUAAAGUAAGCAGUGUCGAUCGUCAGUUGGUGAAGUCCGUUUGGAGUAGUCGGUUUGUUGGAUGGGCUUCCUUAGAGGCUUAUGGGUCGUCGGGUGGUAUUCUUAUUUUGUGGAAAGAGGAUUCACUCACGGUAGAUGACUCAAUUCAAGGGGAGUUCUCUGUUUCUAUUCAUUGUAAACUCAAUGCUGGUUUCUGUGGAUGGAUAACAGGUGUGUACGGCCCCUCAUCUUAUAAACGUAGAGACCAAUUCUGGAUGGAGCUUUCUAGCCUAUAUGGCUUGUGCAACGAUAACUGGUGCGUAGGGGGUGACUUCAAUGUAGUCAGAUGGUUGAAUGAGAAGAGCUCCGGCACUCGCCCGACUAGAAGUAUGCUUCGUUUUAACAACCUGAUUGAGGAAUUGGACCUGGUGGAUAUUCCCUUCCGAAACGGAAGGUUCUCUUGGUCCCGAUCAGGGGUCAGGCCCGCUGCUUCAAAGCUCGACAGAUUCCUUCUUUCCAAGCCUUGGAUGGAGUUCUUUAGAGAAGUAAGUGUGGAAAGACUUCCUCGUACCACAUCGGAUCACUUUCCGAUAAUUUUAAAAAUGGGGGCUCAUUCCUGGGGUCCCACACCUUUUAGAUUUGAAAAUGCUUGGCUGGAUCAUCAUCUUUUCUUUAAAAAUGUUGAGAACUGGUGGGGCAGUUUGGUGGCUGAUGGCUGGCCUAUAUUCUCUUUCAUGGAAAAGCUAAAAGGUCUGAAAGCCAUACUAAAAAGUUGGAAUAAGGAGACUUUUGGUAAUAUUUUCUCCCAAAAACAGGUGCUGAUUGAUAAGAUUAACUCUUUUGACUCACUUGAAGAGUCAAGCUGUCUCAACGAGGCAAAUGUGAAGGAAAGAGAAAACUGUAGAGGGGCUCUGCUUGAUUUGAUUGUGAAAGAGCAGAAGUUGUGGAUUCAGAAGUCGAAGCUUCAUUGGCUUAGGGAGGGGGAGGAAAACUCAAGCUUCUUUCACAGAUGGGUUUCGGCUCGCAAAAGUAAGAGUAUUAUUUCCUCCUUGGUUAGUAUUGAUGGGAAGACUCUUGUCACAGAGAAGGAGAUUGUGGAUGAGAUCCUUAGCUUCUUUUCAAUGUUAUAUGGCACAAGGAUCUCCUCGCCGUUUAUUUGCGACGGUCUUAAUUGGAGAGGCCUUAGCUUACAGGAUUCGAAUUUACUUGAGGCUCCUUUUACCGAAAAAGAAAUUAGAGAAGCUGUUUUUGAUAUGGGUUGUCUCAAGUCCCCUGGCCCUGAUGGCAUGACUGGAGAGUUUUAUAAAAAAUCAUGGAACAUUCUGAAGCCCGACCUCGUAAGGGUGUUCCAAGAUUUUUUUAAAAACGGAGUUAUUAAUAGAAGAUGUAACGAGACUUAUAUUUGCCUCAUCCCCAAAAAGAAAGAGGCGGGCCGUGUCAGUGACUUCAGACCAAUUAGCUUGAUUACCUCCUUGUAUAAAAUUAUCUCCAAGGUGCUUGCUUCAAGGCUUAAAAAAGUUCUUCCAUCGAUAAUUAAUGACUCUCAAAUGGCUUUUGUGGAGGGAAGGCAAAUCCUUGAUGCUAUCUUAACUGCUUCCGAGGCUGUUGACGAAUGGUCUUUAAGAGGCAGAAAAGGCGUGCUUUUGAAGCUCGACCUGGAGAAAGCUUAUGAUAAGGUGGAUUGGUCUUUUCUUGAUAUGAUCAUGAAACUUAAAGGCUUUGGUAAGAGAUGGAGGAAAUGGAUUUGGGGAUGCUUGUCGACAACUAAUUUCUCCAUAAUUGUCAAUGGGAGGCCUAGAGGAAAAAUUAUUGCUAAAAGGGGCAUUCGUCAAGGUGAUCCUCUUGCUCCUUUUCUUUUUACGAUUGUGGGAGAUGCUCUUAGUUGCCUUAUCCACUACUGUAAUGAGAAAAGGAGUUUAAGAGGCUUUCAUUUUGAGAACCUGACAGAAGAUUUAACCCAUCUUCAGUACGCAGACGACACGCUUCUUUUCUCUUCCUGGGAGGAUGGAAAUCUAGAGAACUGGUGGAAGGUGGUUAAUAUCUUCCUUAUGGGAGCCGGUCUUUCCCUUAACAAAGCUAAAACAUCCCUGAUUGGCAUUAACCUUAGCAAUGAUGACUUAGCUCCUUUUAGUGAAUCUACGGGAUGCUCGGUUGAUAAUCUUCCCUUUAAAUAUUUGGGCUUCUCUAUUGGAAGGGGUCAUAAUAGAAAAGAGAUGUGGAACAAUCUUGAAGAGAGAUUCAGACACAAACUUGAUAGGUGGAGGAAUGUAUCCCUCUCCAAAGGGGGUAGACUAACUCUGGUGCAAUCAGUUCUCAACAGCCUCCCUUGUUAUCUCUUCUCCCUUGCUCAAGCUCCAGUUGGCAUUAUUAAUAGAUUGGAACAGAUGAUCAGGAAGUUUGUUUGGACAGGUGGAUCUACGAAUCCAAUUGCUCAUCUCGUCAACUGGGAAUGCACUUCCGCCCCAACUUGUUACGGUGGUCUUGGGAUUGGCUCUUUUAGGCAAAAGAAUAUUGCUCUUCUCACUAAGUGGUUAUGGAGGUUUAGUAAGGAAGAAACCUCUUUAUGGAGGCGAUUAAUUGUGGCCAUCUAUGGUUUAGAUGAGAAUGGGUGGUCUACCAAAAAUCCAAACAGGGGAAAAUCUCAUAGAUUAUGGGCUGGUAUUUUAAAGCAUAAGGAGAUAUUCUUCAAUUUUUCUGCUUUUGUUUUGGGAGAAGGAACAAAAAUCAAAUUUUGGAAGGAUAAAUGGUGUGUCGCGGAAACACUUGCAGAAAAAUUCCCUAACUUAUUCUCUUUGGCGCUGAAUAAGGAAGCUUAUGUGGCUGAUUGCUGGUGUACUGCUACUCAUUCUUGGAAUUUGGGCCUUAGAAGAAAUAUGCUCGACAACGAGAUUGCCAAUGCAGCCUCAGCUUUAGAAAUUCUUCACUCGUGGGCCCCCACUGAAAGGAAUGAUAGUCUUAAAUGGAUUCCUAACAUAAAUGGCAACUUCACUACAAAAUCUACUUUUCUUAACUUAACUAAGAGAUCUCCCAACAUUGCUGUUCCCUUGAUUCGUCAGAUUUGGAAGAAUAAAAUCCCGAAGAAGGUGAAGUUUUUCUUAUGGUCGCUUGCUUACAGAAGCCUCAACACCCAUGAGAAACUACAAAAAAAAAUUCAGAACACUUUGCUUAGCCCCUCGAUGUGUUGCCUAUGCGCUAAAGAUGAGGAAACGUUGGAUCAUUUAUUUCUACAUUGUCCCUUCACAAGAAAAGCUUGGUACACUCUGUUUGGUAUUUUCGAUCUUGGAGCUUUGCCUUCCUAGCAAGAUUGAUAGAUGGAUGAUUGAAGGUCUUAACUUUAGAGGUUACAGCCCUAAAGGAAACAUCUUAUGGAAAUGCGCGACGCGUUCCCUUUUGUGGAGCAUUUGGAAAGAAAGGAAUAGCAGAAUCUUUGACGAUAGAUUUAAUUCUUUUGAUUCUUUUUGGACUGUGGUUCAACACACAGCCUCUUGGUGGAGUACGAAUUACACCAAACACUUUUGUAAUUAUAGCCUUUCUAUGAUUUUCAACAAUUGGAAGGCCAUUAUGUCUUAGUUCCUUAGCUUCUUCCGGGGAGGGCCCUCUCAUCCCUCGCCCUUAGGUUGUUCUGUUUUGUUAUAUGAAUAUACUUGUCUCUUAUCAAAAAAAAAAAAAAAGUCACACUAGGUUGAAUGGAUUCGUGACGAGCCCAUCACCUUAAUUACUAUUUACUAUAAGUAUCUAUUUAAAAUCCAUCCAACCUUAUUCCCAUAUAAAUUGCACAUUUAACGUCCAUUCUUCUUCAACCAUCUACACAAGUUAUUGUGGAUGCUUCAUCUUCACCAGAAUAUUCUAUAAGACCUAAAAAGAAGACAACAAAUUAAUUUACAAAGUAUAAUAUAUACACAAUGAUAUAUUUAAAGCUUCGUUGGAAAAAAAAUUACCCAACUCAUUUUCAAUAUUGACUAGUAAUGAAUUCCCCAUAGGGGGCUGAGUUUUCGUUUCCAUGGUAAGCAUCUUAAGAGAUAUUUUCCUUAGGUAAUCUGACUGAAAUAAGAUAUUAAAAAUAAAAUUGGUGAGAUUGCUAAAACAAAGUUGUGUUUGGUGGAAGAACACAUAACACGAUCAAACAGGAUUUCAAUGAGAGAAAUGAAAGAAUAUACAUGGGCACACAAAAAAAGAAAGUCAGGCCCCAAAGAAAAAAAAGGAGUAUGUUCGUUACACAACUAAAACUUAGGUAGCAAAUCAAACCGGUAUCUUAUUGUUAAUAGAAUAUGGGAUAAACAUAAAUGACAAUCCUUGAUUUAAACAACAACAAAGCGAGCAAGAAUACCUGACUGGUAGCGGCAGUAAAAAUCUUUUCCUCAAACCUUACAGCAAUUUUUCGUAGUUCACUCAAUCCCUCUUGACCAGAAACAGGAAGGUGCCUCUUCAAUGUCUCCAUUCUAACCAAAAAAAAAAAAGAUAAAAAUAUAAAAGCAUAGUGGCUAACUAGUAUAUUAAAUGCAAAAGCAUGAGAAGUUGUUCUUGAAAGGAAAACUACAAUAGCAAUCUAUGUCCAUGAUUCAAAGUAUUAGAUACUUUAGAGGAGCGUACUCUAAAAUGGCCCAGUCAAAUUCAGCAAGAUCCCCACCUCUACAAAUAGCUUACAUUUCUUCUUUUUAAAGAAGAGGAUAAUACCUGAAGAAUCAAAAAAGAACCUCCCCACAAAACCCAACCUACUAUAUCUUCAAUCCAAGAAUGGGAAAGUCAAUAACGUGUAAUUUCAAGAAAUUACGUUUUAGAAACAGAAUUCAAGAAAUCAUUCCCGAGUAAUCUAACCAACGAACUAUGAAACAAAGAGCUAUAUAAGCUCAAAGGCAUAUGUUAAAUAAGAUAGAAUAGUAGAGCAGGAUGUAAGAAAUCAUACAUUUUGUUGACAAUUCGUUGUCGAGAAUCUGGUUGCAAUUGAGACCUCCAAUCCACGGUCUCCAUUCCAGGUUCUACAGCUUGAGUAGGUCUCCAAUUAUUGUUAUCCAUUCAAAAGUUCCCAAACAACCAAAAUGGAAAAGGGUGUGUCCAAAACCCCAAUAACAAGGAGUGGGGUGGGUGGGAUCAAUGAAGGUCAGAAAUUGGCGGUGGAGAUAGUAAUCGGGCAGAAAUUGGGUGGGGUCAAUGAAUGGAUUCUGCAAUUGUUUUGGAGCUGAUUACAGAGAAUGAUGAGUCAAAUUAUCUGGAAAUAGCGGAAACCUAAAGAAGAUAAAUCAUCG
RNAcentral lists this long non-coding RNA (10170 nucleotides) under Cucumis sativus (cucumber). Its description in RNAcentral is "long non-coding RNA (CSAT_LNC002640)". The record is from RNAcentral. Lineage: Eukaryota; Viridiplantae; Streptophyta; Magnoliopsida; Cucurbitales; Cucurbitaceae.